RNAcentral lists this ribosomal RNA (301 nucleotides) under uncultured bacterium. RNAcentral's name for it is "partial 16S ribosomal RNA". It matches the Rfam family "Bacterial small subunit ribosomal RNA", at positions 509 to 807 of the family's 1533-position model. The record is from RNAcentral.
CAGCAGCCGCGGUAAUACGAAGGGUGCAAGCGUUAAUCGGAAUUACUGGGCGUAAAGCGUGCGUAGGCGGUUUGUUAAGUCUGCUGUGAAAUCCCCGGGCUCAACCUGGGAAUGGCAGUGGAUACUGGCAAGCUAGAGUGUGUCAGAGGAUGGUGGAAUUCCCGGUGUAGCGGUGAAAUGCGUAGAUAUCGGAAGGAACACCUGUGGCGAAAGCGGCUCACUGGACCAUUUCUGACGCUGAUGCACGAAAGCUAGGGGAGCAAACAGGAUUAGAGACCCGUGUAGUCCCUGUCUCUUAUAC